Molecule: non-coding RNA, 1362 nt
Organism: Pelobates cultripes (western spadefoot toad)
Lineage: Eukaryota; Metazoa; Chordata; Amphibia; Anura; Pelobatidae
Source: the annotation of a GenBank genome assembly
AGUGAAUAAAUCCCACUUUUCAAUAAUUAACACUGACAAACCAACAUUACAUUUUACUGAAAUACAACUCAUCAUCCUCAGAUGAAUCAUAUCCUAUUUGAUUUUAUAUACCACUAUACAGUAAUUGGUGUUGCAGUAAGUUUUGCCUAAAGAAUCACGUGUAAAACAUCAUAUACAAAUAUAUACCAAAUAAUUCAUUUUACUCAUUAUUGGUAAAUUAUGAUGGAGUUAAGAAUUUUGUGAUUUAACUUCAUUGCUAAUAAUAGGCCAUAUUUGUAUGCGAGAAUUCUUACCCCCAUCAGAUUUUAUUUGAGAUUUUUUUUCACUGAACCUUGGACUUAUUCUUAAAUAGGAUAUUGGAUGUCUUGGCUAUUACACUGAAACACUUGUUUCUGUGCAGGAUCUGGAUUCUCACAAGAAAUAUUAACAAGACUUUAGCAAGUAGAACAAAACAAUGCCAUGAGUGAAUUAUAAUUUGGAAAAAUUAAAUUCACAGUCCAAUUCAUGAGCACACCAUAUUAUCCUUCAUAUAAACAUAUAAUCUAAAUCAAACCUGAACACUCGGUAAUAAACUGGGUCCAGGUCACAUGGUGUAAUGAUUGGCAAAGGUAUGGAAACAGAAAGGUGGCUAAAAUAUGUAAAUAAUGACUUGUGUAUGUUUGUAUGUGUAUCUGUCAGUGUGUAUGUGUAUCUGUGUUAAUAUAAGUGUGUAUUUGUGUGUCAGUAUGUAUGUGUAUGUGUGUAUACGUGUGUGCCAGGAUGUAUAUGUAUCUGUAUCAGUAUGUGUGUAUCUGUGUAUGUGUCAGUGUCCAUAUGUGUACAUCUGUGUGUGUCAGUGUGAAUGCAUAUCUACGUCAGUAUAUUUGUGCAAUCAUGUCAGUAUCGGUGUGUGGAAAAGUGUUAUGCUGCUCACAAAUACAAGCCUGCAAGGAUGGGGAAAUGGUAGUUCCCCAGCUGACAAAGCAUUGUUGGUGUUGCACAAUAGUUCAGGAUCUACCCUUUGGCCAUCCUUGCAUCAGGGCCCUCUCUACAUUAGUUCUGCUACUGCACAGGAGUAUCUAAUUUUUCUGCAGUAUAGGAGGCAAUAAAGGAAGGGGUUAAAGGCUUACCUUUCUCCAACGCCGGGCUCCCUCGGCGCUGGAGACUCUCUCCGCAUUCAGUCUGUCAUAGGAAAGCAUUCUCAAUGCUUUCCUAUGGACGUUUGCAUCUUCUCACUGUGAAAAUCACAGUGAGAAGCGCGGAAGCGCCUCUAAUGGCUGUCAAUGAGACAGCCACUAGAGGCUGGAUUAACCCUAAUGUAAACAUAGUAGUUUCUUUGAAACUGCUAUGUUUACAGCAGUCAGGGUUAACCCUAGAUGGACC